AUUGAACGCUGGCGGCAGGCCUAACACAUGCAAGUCGAACGGUAGCACAGAGAGCUUGCUCUUGGGUGACGAGUGGCGGACGGGUGAGUAAUGUCUGGGAAACUGCCCGAUGGAGGGGGAUAACUACUGGAAACGGUAGCUAAUACCGCAUAACGUCGCAAGACCAAAGUGGGGGACCUUCGGGCCUCACACCAUCGGAUGUGCCCAGAUGGGAUUAGCUAGUUGGUGAGGUAAUGGCUCACCAAGGCGACGAUCCCUAGCUGGUCUGAGAGGAUGACCAGCCACACUGGAACUGAGACACGGUCCAGACUCCUACGGGAGGCAGCAGUGGGGAAUAUUGCACAAUGGGCGCAAGCCUGAUGCAGCCAUGCCGCGUGUAUGAAGAAGGCCUUCGGGUUGUAAAGUACUUUCAGCGAGGAGGAAGGCAUUAAGGUUAAUAACCUUAGUGAUUGACGUUACUCGCAGAAGAAGCACCGGCUAACUCCGUGCCAGCAGCCGCCGUAA
RNAcentral lists this ribosomal RNA (504 nucleotides) under uncultured bacterium. RNAcentral describes it as "partial 16S ribosomal RNA". It matches the Rfam family "Bacterial small subunit ribosomal RNA", at positions 30 to 523 of the family's 1533-position model. The record is from RNAcentral.